Molecule: small nuclear RNA, 164 nt
Organism: Molossus molossus (Pallas's mastiff bat)
Lineage: Eukaryota; Metazoa; Chordata; Mammalia; Chiroptera; Molossidae
Product: U1 spliceosomal RNA
Exons: 1
Source: RefSeq, a predicted model, not a curated record
AUACUUACCUGGCAGGGAAGAUACCAUGAUCAUGAAGCUGGUUUUCUCAGGGUGAGGCUUAUCCAUUUCACUCCGAUGUGCUGAUCCCUGAGAUUUCUCCAAAUGUGGGAAACUCGACUGUAUAAUUUGUGGUAGAAGGAGACUGCAUUUGUGCUCCACUCUGG